UAGUGAUGAGAUUCUUUAGAUGACGAGUCUGAUUUCGGGUUUCCCGCUGAAGACACACCUUUUUAUAACCAUUCAUGCCUUUCUGAUU
RNAcentral lists this small nucleolar RNA (88 nucleotides) under Babjeviella inositovora NRRL Y-12698. Lineage: Eukaryota; Fungi; Ascomycota; Pichiomycetes; Serinales. The record is from RNAcentral.